Long non-coding RNA from Caretta caretta (loggerhead turtle), 3667 nucleotides. RefSeq lists it as uncharacterized. Lineage: Eukaryota; Metazoa; Chordata; Testudines; Cheloniidae. The record is from RefSeq and is a predicted model, not a curated record.
AGGCCAAGAGAUGGAUAUAGAUAGAUGGACAGGGGACUAAAAGGAAACAAUGAGACAAUAUUGUUUAAAUAGAGAAGACAGACACCAGAUGAGGGAAGGGAUGUAACAUGCCACCAGAGUGAUCAAUGUGAUGGUAGCAAAUGUCAUGUUAGUGCCACAAUUUUAGGGGGAGUGGAUUUAGUUUGUAGGGGAUGAGCUAAAUGGAAAGAAAAGGGAAGGAAAGUUGAUAAGGAGGAGGGCAGGACAGGGGAGGGGAGAAGAGGGUAAUGCGGGCAGGUCUGGAGUGAAGCAGAGGUGAAAACACAAUGAGGAGGGAGGGGAGGUGUGGAGCAAAUAGCCAAGUGACAUGGGGCAGAGAAAGUCAAUUUUGACAGGAAUGUCCAGAGGUCCCUGCUUUGACUGCUUCUGCUCCUAUCAGCUGGAGUCUCUGGCUGGCAGCUCUCUGCAGUUUUCCCCCAAGGCCACAUAGUGGUCGGGGGUGGGGAGAGUAAGGAAGAGAGCUACUGCCUAGGUCCUAAUGUCCCCAGAGUGUAUGUGUGUGUGGCAUGUCUCCUGUGCACAGUCUGGAUACAAGGGUGUGCUGAGGAGAGGGCUGGGUCCCAUUUUACCCCCUCCCCCUCCUUGGACAGCAGUCUCUGCUUUGGCAGCUUCUGGUGCUACCAGCUGGAGCCUGUACCUAUCCUGGCAGAAUGCACCUAGUGUAGACACAGCCCUGGGGGACUGUCUCUGAGAGUGUCAGUAACUGAGGUGUCAUUUCCAUUGGAGCCUUGACCUCUCUGUUGCAGUUGCCAUCAGGGGUGUCCCUGGGUGCUGAUGGUGACAGUACUGUCUGUGAACUGGACACGUAUUCACCAAGAACUGGGCUAAGAGCACCACUCCUCUCAGACAGGACACAGCUGCUAUUUGGUUGCAGUGCUGUUAACUCUUACGAUUUUCUGACAAGUGACACAAUUGGGGCUGGAGCCAGGCUCAUGAAGACACUAGAAGCUCCAGACCAAGUGCAUUUGAGUCCUCGGAGUGGCUGCCUACCCCACUUGACUGCCUCCUGGGGCCUAGCAACCAACCAGAGCUGCUACAGGAGUUCCUCCUCCCCCUCAACUCAACAAUCUGAACCAUUCUCACAGGUGAGAGCUGAAGAGCCCAGCAGCUCAGGGUGGCUCCGCCUGUCCUCCCCCCACCUCUCUGCAUCCCUGUAGUACCCGGCCUGGGGAGCAGCAGAGAGGGGUGAAGGGCACCUGGAUCUGUCUCCUUGAGCCUGGAGGGGGAUGAGGAACAGCACGAGGAGCAGAGGUGAGGUGCGCAGGGGAGGUUGUCAGGGGCAGAACUGAUCAUCAUGAUGUUCCCAUUAUGCCUCUGGUGUUUAGGGCAGCAAUGAAGCUCCUCCACUCCUGUCUGUUUCUGGAAAGUCUUUCAACGGUUCCCCAGCUGUGCCCCAGGUUUUUCAGCUCCGCUUCCACAGCUCUUUGCCAUGUUGUUUUCGGGAAGCCUCGUUUUCGCUUGCCUUCAGGUUGGCAAUACUGUGGUCACCACUGACCUAGGAUAGAUUCAACCAGUGGUAGCGAGGUGAAGAAACCUGUGGAUACGUCUACACUGCAGUGUAAGCCUGGGCUCAGACUCAAGCUUGAACCCAACCCCCCCUUCCAUCUACACACAAAUCUCUCAGACUCAGGCUCAGUCUUAGGGUCCUGUGGGGGUGAAGGGUCCGAGUGCAUAUCAAACCAGGACCCAGGGUUCAAGCUCUAUUGUUUUGCAGUCUAGACACAGCCCCUUCGACUUACAUCCUGGGAGUCUGCCAAAAAUAUCCCACAAUCCCAAGGGCCUGAUUCCUUUGUCCUCUUUAUCCCCAGAAUCUCGAAUCAACUAGAGUGAAAACAGAAGCAACCUCCUUUGGUGUACUGCAGCAGCUCAGUGAAUCAGUGUUAACUCUUUCGUUGUCUUCUGACCACUGAGCUGCAAACACACCAUCAGAGAGCCUUCUGCCUUGGCAAUGGAGACUGACUAGAACAAGCCCUUUUCAAAGCAUGCUGCUUCAUGGUAACUGGAGCACAGCCAGAUUUUGGUAAAUCUCAGGUGCGAGGCCAGCAAAACAGUGGACUUCAGUAAGAAUACCAGGAAUGAUCACGCAUACCAACAAAUAACAAUUGGCACUGCUGCAAAUUUACCACACCAGUGGCCAGUGCAGGGACCAGAUUAAGUGUCAUGAGUGAGUACAAGAAAGCCAGGGACCAGAAUUGGACCUUCGGCAACUUGCCAACAUCCUGCCUGUUUUAUGAGGAGUUUAACUGAGUGCUGGGCGCUGCGCUAAGAAUGGAACCAAUGGUGCUGCAUCAUGACCUGAUCAUCUGGAAUGGUACCCUGCUGGCUCCAGGAUCCAGCGUAGGGCAUGAUGGGAGCCAGCAGCAGGCAACAAGUGAGGUCAGCGAAGUGACUCUGUUACUGAAACUGGUUUCAAAGGAGCAGGAGCAGCAGCAGCACAUCCUGGGGCUGUACUUGGAGGAGCUGUUUGAUGCUCCCCUGAUGAACAGCCCACUGUGGAGCCUGCAGCAAACACAGUCAGAACAGAAGCCACCUGGAGACUAGCCCCGUGAUCUCUACUGGCUGCAGUACCUCCACAGCUCACCCACACUGCAGUACAAGGCUGGGCCAAUGUAGCUUCACUGACCGUUCCAAGAGGAAGCAUUUCUGUGAUAAACUUAUGGUUGAAGUUCUUGACAGGACCAACAAACGGGUCCAGUACCAAAACCAGAAGGACUUACAGCUAGAGAAAAGGCACGGCGAGAGACAAGAGGACAGCCUGAGGCUGGCUGCAUAACUUGAGGACAGGGUUUCAGCAUGGGAGCAGGCACUUCCUUUGCAGUUCCUGAAACAGGAACGGUGGCUAAGGGAGGAGGACAGAGCUCAGCAGAGAGAACUGUUUGAGUGGCUGAUAUCACUAAUGGCUGCGAGAGUACUAGCUUCUGCUGCACCCACAUCCCAGCCUGAGUGCCCGGCAUGGUACCAUCAGAUGCAGUCCAGAAACAGCUUGGCUGGGUGGACAUACAGUCGGGCCCCAUGAGUGGCUGGGCAGGCCAACUUAGCCCCAUGCAGUCCUCCAGCUUUGACUCUCUCCCCUAUGGAUGCCUCCACCUCCCUUCUUCAGUACUAAGAGAUUGGGAGACAGGGAAAGGAGAAUCAAGGCCACGACGCAUGGGGGUUUCUGUCUUGUACACAGUUUCACUGUUUGCACUUGUUCAUGUACUUUUUUGGGGGGAAAGAUUCUGUUGUUACCAGGAGAAGCGGAAGCGCCCUAAAAAUGGGGGGGGGGGGCCCACAGGAGCCCGAACCACCACAGGCACUGCACCUCCCCCUGCACUGCACCUUCCCUCCUGAGGCUCCACCCUCAUGCUGCCCCUACCCCCAAACCUCCGCUCCCAUGCCGCCCCUUCUCCUCAAGUCCCUGCGCCGCCCCUUCAUCCCUCGACUCCGCCUCCUCCUCUCUCCUCUCCGUCCCCUCCCCCCAUCACUCACCCUUACGUCUGGUAAAAAGUGGGAGGCCAGGGGGCCAUGGCCCCCCAGUUCCAGCAUCCCCGGUUGUUACUAGUAUUUUGGUGUGGUAGGUAGGCCAGCUGCCAUUAACAAUGGGUCAAUGUUGUACUUUUCUAAUACAUAUUAUAAACAAAGCUUUUUA